This 621-nucleotide long non-coding RNA is filed under the name Mytilus galloprovincialis (Mediterranean mussel). Lineage: Eukaryota; Metazoa; Mollusca; Bivalvia; Mytilida; Mytilidae. The record is from RNAcentral.
CACAUAUAUUAUACACAAGGCACAUUUAAAACAUGCAGAUGAUGGUGAAAACAAUACACCUUAUGGCCAUUUGUCUGUCAUUACUGGUAAUCUCACAGGUUCCCAUCAAAUUUUGACGUCACAUUAGAAAAUAUCUGACACAACAAUUGAAAAGGGAUUGUUGUAUGACCUCAAUAGUUCAAGUGGCCCAGAUUCUUUGGUCAAGCGGUGCAAAUGAUCAAAUAGCGAUAAGGUGUAUACUAUUUUCCCAAAACAAUUUCAGUAUGUUGGAUAAUACAUCUUAUUUUUAAACUAAUUUGUAACCAUCAUAAUUUUUCCCUGUAAAAGCCUGCAGGAUAUAUAUGGCAACAUGUGGUUAUGACUAGAAAUAUCUAUCAUGUUACAUUCAGGAACACAUAAAUACACAGAAACUUUGUAGAUUUAAAAUUAAAGCAGUAACACAAACACUCCCUGCCAAAACAGUUUUAUAAGGUGGUACCUAACACUACAGGGAGAUAACUCUGUAAAGUCAGCUAAAUGUUUUAAUUAUGUUAACGUUGUGUUGUAAAGGGAAUAUUAAGCUUCUCAAUGAUCAAAAUAGGUGUUUGUCAAACUGCUAUAUUUUGUGAUUUUUGUGAUUUU